This is a long non-coding RNA of Octopus sinensis (East Asian common octopus), 150 nucleotides long. RefSeq lists it as uncharacterized. The transcript has 3 exons. The record is from RefSeq and is a predicted model, not a curated record. Lineage: Eukaryota; Metazoa; Mollusca; Cephalopoda; Octopoda; Octopodidae.
GUGUGUGUGUGUGUAUGUGUGUGUGUGUGUGAGUGUGUGUUUGUGUGUGUGUGUAAAAAUGAAGAUAAUAAGGGAGUAUUUUUGUCAGGACAGAAUAUAUUGCAUGGAAUUUUUUAGACAUAGUAUCAACAAUGUUGCGUAAUUUAAAGA